Micropterus dolomieu (smallmouth bass) is the source of this 577-nucleotide long non-coding RNA. RefSeq lists it as uncharacterized. The record is from RefSeq and is a predicted model, not a curated record. The transcript is spliced from 3 exons. NCBI's taxonomy places the organism in Eukaryota, Metazoa, Chordata, Actinopteri, Centrarchiformes, Centrarchidae.
UCUUUUCUAUUGUAUGUCCUUUUUCAGAAAAUCAAUGACUAACGCAGUUUAAGACGAUGUGAUUGGUGCUGCUUCCGAGCUGGUGUGCAGCAGUGUGUGACCCCACUCCCUCUUUACAAAUACUGAAAUACUCUCCAGAGCUCCACAUGUGAAUUCAGGGUUUGAGGCUGAAGAGCAGUUGGCAGAAGGAAGAAAACCCACAGAAAUGGACCUCCGAAAUGCAGAAGUGUCCUGAAUGUGUCAUCCCUCCAGGGAGCCGGUCGAUGCGGCGACAUCCUGAUGCUGCUGGUCACUGAACCAGACAGGGGCUCCCUGCCAUGAAGGACAGGUCAGAGUGAAUCCUACCUGAUGACAGACGGACAGACAUAAGCUGCAGCAGAGACAACUCAGCCUGACUGCUGAUGACCAAAGACAUCAGAUUACCUCUCAUCUGAAUGCUCGACAGCUCCGCCGUUUAAAAGGUCCUGAGGAUUGUGAGAGUCGAUAAAUUCCCAGGCUGCUGCUCAUUUUCUUGGCCCAGUUUGGGUAUGUGAUGACCAAUGAUUGGAUUGUUUGUUAUUUGGCUCGGGAUAUGUCC